Molecule: ribosomal RNA, 366 nt
Filed under: uncultured bacterium
Lineage: Bacteria
Description: bacterial SSU rRNA
Rfam family: Bacterial small subunit ribosomal RNA
Source: RNAcentral
GUCGACGGAGGUUACUUCGUAGCGAUCUUCGGAUCAAGCGAUAUAACUCGAGUGGCGGACGGGUGAGUAACACGUGAGUAACCUGCCUUUUGCUGGAGAAUAACUGUGGGAAACCAUGGCUAAUACCGCAUGUUGUGCAUGACAAGCAUCUGUUGUGUAUGAAAGGAGAAAUCCGGCAGAAGAUGGGCUCGCGUCCGAUUAGGUAGUUGGUGGGGUAACGGCCUACCAAGCCCGCGAUCGGUAGCCGGACUGAGAGGUCGAACGGCCACAUUGGGACUGAGACACGGCCCAGACUCCUACGGGAGGCAGCAGUGGGGAAUUAUUGGGCAAUGGGGCGAAAGCCCUGACCCCAGCGACGCCGCGUGA